CAUUUUUUAAAUUCAAAAUUCUUCGUAAUUAUUUAAUAUAUUUAACUUAUUUUAAUAUUUGUUUUUGUAGGUCAUACUCAAAGGGAAUCUUUUGCCACUCUUCCAGUAUGAAUUCUUUUAGCUGAUUGCGGUUUUUGGGCUGUCUUUUCCCACUUUCUUCUUGAAGUAGGCCCACAAAUUUUCAAUGGGGCUAAGAUCGGGGCUCUGGGAUGGUGUAUCAAUAACUUUUCCACAGUUGUAAAGCACCCAAGCUCUCACAUUGGACUCUAUGUUUGGGAUCAUUGUCUUGAUGAAACUUGAAUUUGGCCAUAUUGUCCGUAAUGAGCCCAAAUUUCUCCGCACUGCUUUUUAAAUUUGUUUUUAAAAUUUGGAGGUACUGUUUGACAUCCAUUGUGUUCUCAAUAAAUGCAAUAUUUCCCACUCCUCG
Long non-coding RNA from Drosophila pseudoobscura, 427 nucleotides. RefSeq lists it as uncharacterized. Lineage: Eukaryota; Metazoa; Arthropoda; Insecta; Diptera; Drosophilidae. The transcript has 2 exons. The record is from RefSeq and is a predicted model, not a curated record.